Molecule: ribosomal RNA, 546 nt
Filed under: Triticum aestivum (bread wheat)
Lineage: Eukaryota; Viridiplantae; Streptophyta; Magnoliopsida; Poales; Poaceae
Description: partial small subunit ribosomal RNA
Source: RNAcentral
AUGCCAGAACUCAACCACCCGCAUCGAGGGCUACGCAGCUCCGACUCUGAAGCAAAGAUCCAAAAGAGAACUAUGCAAGACUGGCGUCGUGGAAGACCACCGAACGGACCACGUGCUGCCUGUCAUCGUUGCCACAGGGGCCCCGCCGCCGCAGCUUCGACUUCACCGCAACAACCAAACCGAGGUAAUCCCACGAACACGCCGAAGAAGAGCCGACUACCACUGCAAUGUCUUCGACUUCACUUGCCCUGUCGUCGUUGCCACAGAAGCCUCGAUGCCACACCAAUGCAUACCACCAACCUCCCAACACACCAGCUGGUCCCUCUGACCGGAUUGAACUCCAAAAUCGAUGCCCUCGAGAGGGAAACGACGCCAACACGCCGCCAACGACUGACCCUCCGGGUCUGGGGUUUCCCCCGGAGCUGUCCCUCGCAGAGGAAGAGAGAGCAUCCUGACGACGCCUUCAAGAAGGUUACGGCGUCCACAAACGCCACCGUCACAGGCUCCGGCCAUGGCCAGAGACGGGUUUUCACCCAGCCCUCGUGA